RNAcentral lists this ribosomal RNA (436 nucleotides) under Appasus japonicus. RNAcentral's name for it is "partial 16S ribosomal RNA". Lineage: Eukaryota; Metazoa; Arthropoda; Insecta; Hemiptera; Belostomatidae. The record is from RNAcentral.
GUCCUUUUGAUUUUUAUAUAAGGUCUGACCUGCCCUAUGAAUAUUUAAAUGGCCGCGGUAUACUAACCGUGCAAAGGUAGCAUAGUCAUUUGUCUCUUAAUUGGAGGCUUGAAUGAAGGGUUGGACGAGAUAUAAGCUUUCUUUGUUAUAUUUUAUUGAAUUUGACUUUUGAGUUAAAAGGCUUAAAUUUUUUUAUAGGACGAGAAGACCCUAUAGAAUUUUAUAUAUUUGUAUAAUCGAUUUAUUUAUUUAUUAUUUAAUUUUUUGUUUAAAUAUAUUUUGUUGGGGCGAUGGGAAGAUUUUAAUAACUCUUUUUUUUUCUAAUCAUUGAUUUAUGUUUUAUUCUGAUCCUUUUUUAGAGAUUAUAAGAUUAAAUUACCUUAGGGAUAACAGCGUAAUUCUUUUGGAGAGUUCUUAUCGAUAAAAGAGUUUGCGA